UUAGAUACCCUGGUAGUCCACACAGUAAACGAUGAAUACUCGCUGUUUGCGAUAUACAGUAAGCGGCCAAGCGAAAGCAUUAAGUAUUCCACCUGGGGAGUACGCCGGCAACGGUGAAACUCAAAGGAAUUGACGGGGGCCCGCACAAGCGGAGGAACAUGUGGUUUAAUUCGAUGAUACGCGAGGAACCUUACCCGGGCUUAAAUUGCACCUGAAUAACGUGGAAACAUGUUAGCCGCAAGGCAGGUGUGAAGGUGCUGCAUGGUUGUCGUCAGCUCGUGCCGUGAGGUGUCGGCUUAAGUGCCAUAACGAGCGCAACCCUUAUCUUUAGUUACUAACAGGUCAUGCUGAGGACUCU
Molecule: ribosomal RNA, 358 nt
Filed under: uncultured bacterium
Lineage: Bacteria
Description: bacterial SSU rRNA
Rfam family: Bacterial small subunit ribosomal RNA
Source: RNAcentral